UGCAUAUCAAAAAGCGGAGGAAAAGAAACCAACAGGGAUUGCCUUAGUAGCGGCGAGUGAAGCGGCAAAAGCUCAAAUUUGAAAUCUGGCGCCUUCGGUGUCCGAGUUGUAAUUUGAAGAUUGUAACCUUGGGGUUGGCUCUUGUCUAUGUUUCUUGGAACAGGACGUCACAGAGGGUGAGAAUCCCGUGCGAUGAGAUGCCCAAUCCUAUGUAAGGUGCUUUCGAAGAGUCGAGUUGUUUGGGAAUGCAGCUCUAAGUGGGUGGUAAAUUCCAUCUAAAGCUAAAUAUUGGCGAGAGACCGAUAGCGAACAAGUACAGUGAUGGAAAGAUGAAAAGAACUUUGAAAAGAGAGUGAAAAAGUACGUGAAAUUGUUGAAAGGGAAGGGUUUGAGAUCAGACUCGAUAUUUUGUGAGCCUUGCCUUCGUGGCGGGGUGACCCGCAGCUUAUCGGGCCAGCAUCGGUUUGGGCGGUAGGAUAAUGGCGUAGGAAUGUGACUUUACUUCGGUGAAGUGUUAUAGCCUGCGUUGAUGCUGCCUGCCUAGACCGAGGACUGCGAUUUUAUCAAGGAUGCUGGCAUAAUGAUCCCAAACCGCCCGUC
RNAcentral lists this ribosomal RNA (600 nucleotides) under Meyerozyma guilliermondii. RNAcentral's name for it is "LSU rRNA". It matches the Rfam family "Eukaryotic large subunit ribosomal RNA", at positions 37 to 653 of the family's 3401-position model. Lineage: Eukaryota; Fungi; Ascomycota; Pichiomycetes; Serinales; Debaryomycetaceae. The record is from RNAcentral.